UUUUUUUGCGAAUAGUUUGUUUGUUGUAAAGAAAAGGAUUGUGAACAGAUGUUGGCCUUGUGCCAGUCCAGGUCUGGGCACUUUUCUUGUCAAACAAGUUUGCCAAAAAAAGACAAGGGAAAAGUGGGCGUUCUUUUUCUUGCGCUUCCUUUAUGCAAACAUUCUGGGGUUGUUCCCAUCUGAGCCCUUGACCUCUGAUAAUCAAGCAAAGACAAAGUUAAAAUUAGUAACUCAUCUCUAUCAAACAAAAAAGUACUUGGCCUGAUAACACAGUACUUAUAAAAAACGAUGGCAUGGUAGGUGAAAGAUGUUAAUUGAAAUUAAAAAGAAUUUACCUUUCUGCUUUGCUCCUUCAAAACAUUCCUCCUCUGUUUCCUUUCAUCACUCUUUUGCAGCUGCAUAAAAAACGAAAAAGUAGUCUCUUAUAGAACAGAUUAUAUUCAAACAAUAUUGAACUUAUGAUAACAAAAAUGAGGCACGAAAACACGAAAAAGAUUGCUGCGGUGAAAAAUGAUUUACCAUUUUUCUGAUACCAUCAAGCAACAUGCUAUCUGAUGCAUAUGUUUUUGUUAAAUCAAUGUUAGAGGCCUGAACUUUAGAAACAUUGCCAUGAAAAGUUUGGUCCAGGUCUUCAUUGAUGUUGUUGCUCUCUGAAUUUUGAUGGUUGGUAUCUCUGCUUACAUCCCCCUAUAAAAAGAAACAAGAAUAGAUAAACAAGAAUUUUGAAGGAUAGUCAAGUAUCAUCUGAGCACAAAUAAAUUGUUGUACUCUCAGUGCGCAAAACUCUAUUUGUAUCGAUAGCUUAAACUACCCAGCCUAAUCUAGUCUCAUCUCAGGGCUAUUUUCAUUAUCCAGCCAUAAUGCAACCUCUUGUGCAUGUAAAAGAAACAAACAAAAAAUUAAGAAUAAGUGGAUAUUAGGAAAAAAACAAUCUGGAUUUGUUAAGCGAAAAGUGUGGCUACCAAAAACAAAAGUGCCCAACCGAAGAGUGACGCCAAGCGAAAAAGCACGAGGUCGCUGGCAAAAACAAGACAAAAAAGCCCCUGUCGCAUAAAAGUAUGUGGUGGUGUGGCUGAUU
Molecule: long non-coding RNA, 1078 nt
Filed under: Triticum aestivum (bread wheat)
Lineage: Eukaryota; Viridiplantae; Streptophyta; Magnoliopsida; Poales; Poaceae
Description: long non-coding RNA (TAES_LNC009223)
Source: RNAcentral